RNAcentral lists this ribosomal RNA (411 nucleotides) under uncultured Pseudonocardia sp. RNAcentral describes it as "bacterial SSU rRNA". It matches the Rfam family "Bacterial small subunit ribosomal RNA", at positions 404 to 822 of the family's 1533-position model. The record is from RNAcentral. Lineage: Bacteria; Bacillati; Actinomycetota; Actinomycetes; Pseudonocardiales; Pseudonocardiaceae.
GGGGAUGACGGCCUUCCGGUUGUAAACCUCUUUCGACCUUGACGAAGCCUUUCGGGGUGACGGUAGGGGUAGAAGAAGCACCGGCCAACUACGUGCCAGCAGCCGCGGUAAUACGUAGGGUGCGAGCGUUGUCCGGAAUUAUUGGGCGUAAAGAGCUCGUAGGCGGUCUGUCGCGUCGGUCGUGAAAACUUGGGGCUUAACCCUGAGCUUGCGGUCGAUACGGGCAUGACUGGAGUUCGGCAGGGGAGACUGGAAUUCCUGGUGUAGCGGUGAAAUGCGCAGGUAUCAGGAGGAACACCGGUGGCGAAGGCGGGUCUCUGGGCCGAUACUGACGCUGAGGAGCGAAAGCGUGGGGAGCGAACAGGAUUAGAUACCCUGGUAGUCCACGCCGUAAACGGUGGGCGCUAAGUG